UACAGAGGGUGCAAGCGUUAAUCGGAGUUAUUGGGCGUAAAGCGUGCGUAGGCUGAUAUUUAAGUUGGGUGUGAAAUCCCCGGGCUUAACCUGGGAAUUGCGCUCAAUACUGAAUAUUCUUGAGUAUGGUAGAGGAAAGCGGAAUUUCCGGUGUAGCGGUGAAAUGCGUAGAUAUCGGAAAGAACAUCAGCGGCGAAGGCGGCUUUCUGGACCAAUACUGACGCUGAGGUACGAAAGCGUGGGUA
This 245-nucleotide ribosomal RNA is filed under the name uncultured bacterium. RNAcentral's name for it is "partial 16S ribosomal RNA". It matches the Rfam family "Bacterial small subunit ribosomal RNA", at positions 524 to 767 of the family's 1533-position model. The record is from RNAcentral.